This 1647-nucleotide long non-coding RNA is filed under the name Macaca mulatta (Rhesus monkey). Its description in RNAcentral is "lncRNA (ENSMMUG00000057934.1)". The record is from RNAcentral. Lineage: Eukaryota; Metazoa; Chordata; Mammalia; Primates; Cercopithecidae.
AGAAUGCCAUCUCCAGGAUGCCAAUGGGUUGUGUCUACAGUACUAUGUAGGAAAGUGCUGCAAGAGGGAUCACUCUUCUAUGCUGUGCUGGCCCAGACCCAGCCCUCUCCAGCCAGGAAACAUAAAAUACAGAAAGUCAUAAAACCCAGAAGUUUGAUUUGGUACCGUAAUGCCAUCACCCAUGGGGUGGCUCAUGAAAAUCUCCCAUUCAUGCUUCUUCACAUCUCUUUCUCUUUUGGCUGACUGAAAUACAGACAACUGCAGCAAUCUUGGAAGCCACAUAUUGAAGUUAACAGUCACAAAUGGAAAAACUUGGAUUUCUGCAUCAUCGCUUGGAUGAGAGCUUCUACCAAUCAGGACCUCUCACUUUGAAAUUUACAUGAGUGAGAAACAAAUGUCUAUUUUAUUAAGCCACUGAAAUGUUGAAGUUCAUCUGUUACCUCACUAGCACUGCUGUAAAACGUACAGGGAAGAUGGCUAGUGGCCUUAUUCCUUUAGUUGCAAUAUUGAAGAGGAAAAGGUAGUAAGGCAGAAGAAAGCCAGCAAUAUAAGCCUAACAGAAGAAAUCCAGGUGCCUUCUUUCAUCAUAGUGUAUGGAAUACAGAUGUUUCAGCAUAAUUAUUAAGAUAAAAAGACUGAGAUAAUUAGCACUCACAAAAGGAAGACAGGAAAGCUAUGAGGAUGCACCUGAUGCUGAAUAGAAGAAGGAGUACUCACUGCAGCUGUCAUUGAACUGAUUAUCUGAAGGCAAAGCAAUGCUAUUUUGUGCAAACAAUAUAUAAUACUUACGGAAUGGCAAUUAGAAUCACGAGUCCUUGCAUAAGUGAAUGGAGCUUGAUGGUGUUUACUCGAUUUUCAAUAGCUGGGGUAGUGAUAGAAAAAUAAGCCCUUCAAAGCACUUUGGAAAUUUCACUGUCAGGACAUUAAUGUCAAACUAAGUCCAAGAAACUGGGUAAAUCAGUAGAGAACUAAGGAAGAAAAUCUCACAGCUAGUAUUUGUGGGAGUUCUCCCCUGAGGGUCUUCCCCCAUCAUCUGUUUUCAUAGUAACUCCAGGUUUCCACGAUCUUUACAGAUGGCAUUCAUUUAACGUCAAAACACUUAAUGAAAAAAAAUCUACUAUGUAUACAGAAUGCACUACUUGCCAGAGCAUUUGAUACUAAUUCAGCACAUACAUGUGCAUUUUAACAACAAGUUAAUAGCAACACUAAUACACAGCAAUCAUUUACUGGGCAUUUUUUGCCACAAGAGUAAAACAGUUAAAAGUUAUGUCUUGGUAGCUCAAUUCUGCUACCAGAUCCAUUUCCAAAGCUCUUUAACAUGAGGACAGACACAUUACAAGCUGUUUUGUGGGACAUACCAUUCCCUUUUUUCCUUGGCAUUUUCUCCUAUAUUGAAAUUAGGAACACAACAAUAUUGGUGAUAACCACAACUAUUCUUAGUGUGACUUAAGUUGUGUCUUUGCUUUAAGCCAACCUCAAAUAUAUUUAAUUUGGAAAAUUAUAUUAUUUAUAAUAGCUAACAUGAAAUGCUUACUCUUUUAUGCAAUUAUUAUGCAACCCAAUUUCAGUAAUGCAUUUAAUUAACUAUACAUGGCUCAUUCUGUGGCAUAUUUUAUUGGGUUACAACAAUAAAUUUGUAUUUUAAAA